GAAACCAUUGUCAUCUUCCUCCUACGGCUCCUACAUGAGAUAGGCAUCCUCUUCUUUUCACCUACGGCCCGUCACGGGAUUUCUUCCUUCCUUCUUCUCUGAUCCAAUCACGUCCAGAACGUAGCUGUUCCACAUGGUCAUGAAAGGAUUGCGCGCUAUCACAUUUUGGGAUUUUCCAAGAAAUGAAAGAAUAAGAAAGAGAGCAAGAAAGAGCAACUAUAAAAGAAGGCCAAAAUAGAAUAUCAGGCAAAUCAACUCUACCUUUGCAAGCCCUGCACUAACCAAUGAAAAAUUGACAAUGUUUAAAGAUUUUUUAAAUAAAAGAAUGAAUGGAUAAUAGAUACAGGUGUCUCUCAACAUAUGACUGUGGAAAUCAGAUUGUUUAAAACAACAAGAGCACUUGAUUAUUUAUGAUCACUAUAUUAAGUGGUGAAAACUGUAAAGUAAAACAGAUUGGAGAUAUAGAAUUAAACAAAAUUAUAAUACUAAGAAAUGUUUUAUAUAUACCAGAAUUCAGAGUAUAUUUAAUCUCAAUAAGUAAACUAUCAAUAUACAUUGAUAUAUUGAUCAUUUAUUUAUCAAACAAAAUGUGUUUGCAGUAAAACAGAGUGUGAUUGGUAAUAACAGUGUUUGGCAAUCUCUAACAUCUUUGAAUUUUACUAAUUGCUUUUUAAUUUCCUCUCUCUAUUUAACAAAAAUUUA
RNAcentral lists this long non-coding RNA (702 nucleotides) under Zostera marina. RNAcentral describes it as "long non-coding RNA (ZMAR_LNC005091)". The record is from RNAcentral. Lineage: Eukaryota; Viridiplantae; Streptophyta; Magnoliopsida; Alismatales; Zosteraceae.